CGUUAUCGUGCAAGGCUCCAUCCCCGGGCGGCUCACUCCCAGGUCCUCUUCCUCCUCAGCUCAAUGCCAGGAUUUGAAAUAGCCCAGAUGAAAGGGCCCGGCCCCCGCCUCCCUCCCCCUCUGAAUUCAUGUAUUAUGAAUGAAAAGCCAGCCCCGCUGCUUCCCGAGGUCUCCACUUCAGGGCCUUGCUAUGUAGUUCAGACUGACCUUGAACUCACUAUGUAGAACAGGCUGGCUUUGAAUUCCUCCUGCCUCAACCUCCUGAGUGCUGGGAUUAUAGACAUGCACCACCAUGCCCAGCUCCACUGUAAUUGGAUCUUGAAGAAUGAAGAACGUACCAGGAAGAAAACAAGAAGCAAGAAAGAAGCUUUGUGUUCUAGGACAUGGAAACUGGAUUGAACUCAGGACCUUUCACUUGCAAGAACCUGUUAAGGUAGCAAUGUGGCCUGUUACAAGUAUUCUCAAGUAAGAAAAGUGCUCAAAGAAUGAGAGGAACAUGUUAAUAGGACACAGAAGCCAGCUUCAGGGCAUUCCUGAUGGCCUAUCUG
This 548-nucleotide long non-coding RNA is filed under the name Heterocephalus glaber (naked mole-rat). RNAcentral's name for it is "lncRNA (ENSHGLG00000040939.1)". The record is from RNAcentral. Lineage: Eukaryota; Metazoa; Chordata; Mammalia; Rodentia; Bathyergidae.